This 503-nucleotide ribosomal RNA is filed under the name Bacillus sp. KB89. Its description in RNAcentral is "bacterial SSU rRNA". It matches the Rfam family "Bacterial small subunit ribosomal RNA", at positions 1 to 492 of the family's 1533-position model. Lineage: Bacteria; Bacillati; Bacillota; Bacilli; Caryophanales; Bacillaceae. The record is from RNAcentral.
UAGAGCUUGAUCCUGGCUCAGGACGAACGCGGGCGGCGUGCCUAAUACAUGCAAGUCGAGCGGACUUCUUAAAAGCUUGCUUUUAAGAAGUCAGCGGCGGACGGGUGAGUAACACGUGGGCAACCUGCCCCUAAGACUGGGAUAACUUCGGGAAACCGGAGCUAAUACCGGAUAAUAUAAGGAACCUCCUGGUUCUUUAUUGAAAGAUGGUUUCGGCUAUCACUUACAGAUGGGCCCGCGGCGCAUUAGCUAGUUGGUGAGGUAAUGGCUCACCAAGGCGACGAUGCGUAGCCGACCUGAGAGGGUGAUCGGCCACACUGGGACUGAGACACGGCCCAGACUCCUACGGGAGGCAGCAGUAGGGAAUCUUCCACAAUGGACGAAAGUCUGAUGGAGCAACGCCGCGUGAGCGAUGAAGGCCUUCGGGUCGUAAAGCUCUGUUGUUAGGGAAGAACAAGUGCGAGAGUAACUGCUCGCACCUUGACGGACCUAACCAGAAAGCC